Molecule: RNA transcript, 2285 nt
Organism: Humulus lupulus (European hop)
Lineage: Eukaryota; Viridiplantae; Streptophyta; Magnoliopsida; Rosales; Cannabaceae
Exons: 2
Source: RefSeq, a predicted model, not a curated record
CUUAGUUUUCCACAGUGUCGCGAUCCCAUUGCAGUCAAGUUGAACGACUUCUUCCCUUCAAGCGACGAAGCUCUUCCCUAACACGCGGUGAAUGACAACGGCGUAUACGACAUCUAGCAGAUCUCUGGCCUCAAGCCUGUCUUUCUCUAUGCGUCGUCCCGCAGAUCUUCGACCUCAAGCCCUUCCCGCCGACCUCACAUGCUUCCAACUGAUUUCUCUCAUAGAUAUGCAAACAUACCCCGAAAAUUGUAAGGGGAAUUAGGAAAUUCAUAGAGGGUUUCAAUCCUCAAAAAAGGUAACCUAUUGCUUCCUUUUCUUUUCACUUGGAACGGGGUGUCUGGUUUUGAACUGUUCGCAAGCUGCUCUAGAAAUAUAUUAAUUCAUGCUUCUAUGUUUUGCAAUUGAAAUUAUUAUAGAGGCAAAAAUGUAGCAAUCAUUCAUUAUUUACCACAUGAAGAAACUUGCGCCAAAUGGGAUCCAAAUAUUAUCUAUCUAUUUUAUGCAGGGGCACAAGUUUGUCAAUUUUCUUAAAUACUCUAGUAUGUAUAUACUUGGCACAGUGAAUUAGUUUUUGUAUACUUUUAGUCUAGAAAGUCAUUUAAAUAUAAAGCCUUCUUUUGCCUUUAAUUUAAUAACGUGGAUUGCAUUUCUGAAGUAUUUGGAUGGAUUACAUGAUAUAACAAGGAUGAUGGUGCAUUUUGGAAAACCAUUAGCGCAUGUAAAAGCAUUCUAUACUGUUGUAAGUAUAAUUUCUUUGUCAUUCUAUUAUAUAGGUUCUCAAUGGUGAUAUAUCAAGUAAGUGCUAACUAGGAUUAUUUGCUUGCCAUUUAUCAUUCUGAAGAUAGCUUUACUUCAGUUGAUUCAUGAAAUAUUUUAUAUUUCUCAAGUAUGAUUUUCUUAUUAAUUAGUACCCUAUUUAAUUAGUUUCAGACCACAUGCUUGGAAUGUGUCACUACAAGUUUCCAUGACUGUAACAGAUGGUUUGUGCUCACUAGCAUUAUUUUAUCUUAAUUUGAUAUUUUGGGUCAUUUUCAAUUUUAGUGUUGAUUGUGUGAAAUGUAUAUAGGCAUGACAAUUGUGGAGUGAGAGCAAGGGAGUAGAAAUGUACAUAGGCAUGGAAAUUGUGUGAAAUGGGCUGGUCUCUAUAAAAUGAGCAUUGAUUGUAUAAGAAGAAAUCUGUUGACCAUUAUAAUUUAUAAUUUAUAAUUAUGUUGUAGUGAACUCAGAUGAGUGCUUGAUGACAAGAAUGCAAGAAAUGUCACUGGAUUACCAUUUCAUAGCUGAGUAAGAAAUGGGUUCCUCCACUUAUGCCUUUUUUGGAUUUAAUGGCCAGCUUAACCAAAAACUCUUUAUUUUAUUUAUUUAUAUAUUUUAGAAAUAUUAUGUUUUCAAAAACAAAGAAAAAUAAUACUUUAUUUACAAUACAAUAAAUGUCGCUGUUUAUGUUAUCAGAUAAUAAAAAAUCAGAGUUUAAACUAGUGGAAUUAGAUUGAAAGAUUUGUGAAGAGUUACUUUCUUGAUUAUGAUGUUAUGAGUUACACAUUGUAUAUUUUAUCAGUAGUGGCUUGCUACAAACUACUCAGGUAGCAAUAAUAAAAAUUACAGUAUAACAGAUAAAGUGAAAUGGGUUUAGUAUUUAAUGAUCGAACUUGGUUGGUGUAUAUAGUAUUGGUAGUUGCAAUUCAAUUCUAUGUGUUAACUUCUUUCUUUGGACCCAAAAUAGAUUAGUGCUUAUGUUCAUUUGUCCCUAAGUACUGCAACUUUUUUAUACUACUUUUUAAGAAAAGAAAAACAAAUUAAACUAAAAUGUUUAUCUUUGCCACUUAGCCAUUUAUAGUGACUUUGUUCUCAAGGACUUUUACAAAAAAUUAUAUUUUCAAUUGUAAUUUAUGCAUACAAAAAAUCAAUGAUUGUUGUCUCUAUUCUCAUUUAGAUGAUGAAAUUUUGGGACUUUAAUUAAGGCUUUGAUUAUCUAUAUUUGGGUAUGUAUCUACUUUUAAGUUCCAUUCUUAUGAAAACAUUUCUAUUGACAGAUGCACUUUUACUGCAACUAUACCGGGAAUAGAAUGAAUUAAUGUCAUCAUAGAAGCUGCUAAAGAACGAUUUGGUGAUUCUCAAAGAAAAUAAGCAAUAGGUUCUAUGAGUUUGGUGAAGAGUAAGUGAAGAACAUUGAUAAUUAUGUAACUCUUUUUUUUUCUUGAAUAGGUGGACUUAUUGUUAGCAAGCACAAAUAAUGCAAUAUUAAUGAUAGAGUCAGACCUGUACUGCAAAUUAGCUUGUUGUAA